This 379-nucleotide ribosomal RNA is filed under the name uncultured eukaryote. RNAcentral describes it as "SSU rRNA". It matches the Rfam family "Eukaryotic small subunit ribosomal RNA", at positions 587 to 972 of the family's 1831-position model. The record is from RNAcentral.
AGCUCCAAUAGCGUAUAUUAAAGUUGCUGCGGUUAAAAAGCUCGUAGUUGGAUCUCAGUCUCGGUCGGACGGUCCAUCUCUCGAUGGCACUGUUCGAACCGGACAUUUGGCCGCGUUGCUCUGUAUCCUCUUGACUGAGUGUACAGUGCGAGUGGCACGUUUACUUUGAAAAAAUUAGAGUGCUCAAAGCAGGCAUUCGCCUGAAUCUUCGUGCAUGGAAUGAUGGAAUAGGGCCUCGGUUCUAUUUUGUUGGUUUCCGGAACUCGAGGUAAUGAUUAAGAGGGACAGACGGGGGCAUUCGUAUUGCGACGUUAGAGGUGAAAUUCUUAGAUCGUCGCAAGACGAACUACUGCGAAAGCAUUUGCCAAGAAUGUUUUCA